This 619-nucleotide ribosomal RNA is filed under the name Salmonella enterica subsp. enterica serovar Enteritidis. Its description in RNAcentral is "partial 23S ribosomal RNA". It matches the Rfam family "Bacterial large subunit ribosomal RNA", at positions 56 to 718 of the family's 2925-position model. Lineage: Bacteria; Pseudomonadati; Pseudomonadota; Gammaproteobacteria; Enterobacterales; Enterobacteriaceae. The record is from RNAcentral.
GCGUGCUAAUCUGCGAUAAGCGCCGGUAAGGUGAUAUGAACCGUUAUAACCGGCGAUACCCGAAUGGGGAAACCCAGUGUGACUCGUCACACUAUCAUUAACUGAAUCCAUAGGUUAAUGAGGCGAACCGGGGGAACUGAAACAUCUAAGUACCCCGAGGAAAAGAAAUCAACCGAGAUUCCCCCAGUAGCGGCGAGCGAACGGGGAGGAGCCCAGAGCCUGAAUCAGCAUGUGUGUUAGUGGAAGCGUCUGGAAAGGCGCGCGAUACAGGGUGACAGCCCCGUACACAAAAGCGCAUGUGCUGUGAGCUCGAUGAGUAGGGCGGGACACGUGGUAUCCUGUCUGAAUAUGGGGGGACCAUCCUCCAAGGCUAAAUACUCCUGACUGACCGAUAGUGAACCAGUACCGUGAGGGAAAGGCGAAAAGAACCCCGGCGAGGGGAGUGAAAAAGAACCUGAAACCGUGUACGUACAAGCAGUGGGAGCACCCUUUGGGUGUGACUGCGUACCUUUUGUAUAAUGGGUCAGCGACUUAUAUUCUGUAGCAAGGUUAACCGAAUAGGGGAGCCGGAGGGAAACCGAGUCUUAACCGGGCGUUAAGUUGCAGGGUAUAGACCCGA